CUUUGGGUAAAAGAUUAUUGCCCCAAGAGGAGCUCGCGUCUGAUUAGCUAGUUGGUGAGGUAAGAGCUCACCAAGGCAGCGAUCAGUAGCUGGUCUGAGAGGACGAUCAGCCACACUGGGACUGAGACACGGCCCAGACUCCUACGGGAGGCAGCAGUGGGGAAUUUUCCGCAAUGGGCGAAAGCCUGACGGAGCAAGACCGCGUGAGGGAGGAAGGCUCUUGGGUUGUAAACCUCUUUUCUCAGGGAAGAAGCUCUGACGGUACCUGAGGAAUCAGCCUCGGCUAACUCCGUGCCAGCAGCCGCGGUAAUACGGAGGAGGCAAGCGUUAUCCGGAAUUAUUGGGCGUAAAGCGUCCGCAGGUGGCGAUUCAAGUCUGCUGUCAAAGCACGGGGCUUAACUCCGUUAAGGCAGUGGAAACUGAAUAGCUAGAGUGCCGUAGGGGUAGAGGGAAUUCCCGGUGUAGCGGUGAAAUGCGUAGAGAUCGGGAAGAACAUCGGUGGCGAAAGCGCUCUACUGGACGGCAACUGACACUCAGGGACGAAAGCUAGGGGAGCGAAUGGGAUUAGAUACCCCAGUAGUCCUAGCUGUAAACGAUGGAUACUAGGUGUAGCUUGUAUCGACCCGAGCUGUGCCGAAGCUAACGCGUUAAGUAUCCCGCCUGGGGAGUACGCACGCAAGUGUGAAACUCAAAGGAAUUGACGGGGGCCCGCACAAGCGGUGGAGUAUGUGGUUUAAUUCGAUGCAACG
Molecule: ribosomal RNA, 749 nt
Filed under: uncultured organism
Description: bacterial SSU rRNA
Rfam family: Bacterial small subunit ribosomal RNA
Source: RNAcentral